RNAcentral lists this non-coding RNA (31 nucleotides) under Homo sapiens (human). The record is from RNAcentral. Lineage: Eukaryota; Metazoa; Chordata; Mammalia; Primates; Hominidae.
UGAAAGAAGGAAGGUACCCUGGCUUAGGCCC